CUCAGUAACACAUGAUCAACUUGCCCUAUGGAGGACAAUAACCUCGGGAAACUGAGGAUAAUAGUCCAUAGUUGAUUAGGCUUGGAAAAGUUUUUCAAUGAAUGGAAUAAGAAAAAUGGUUCUUAUUUGCCAUAGGAUAGGAUCGUGCUCGAUUAUGGUUGUUGGUGAGGUAAAGGCUCACCAAGCCGAUAAUCGAUAGGGGCCGUGAGAGCGGUUGCCCCGAGAUGGGUACUGAGAUAACGACCCAGGCCUUACGAGGCGCAGCAGGCGCGAAACCUCAUCACUACACGAAAGUGUGAAUGGGUUACCCAAAGUGUCCUUAUUGGACUGUGGUAGGUGAGUAAUGUUCCCUACUAGAAAGGAGAGGGCAAGGCUGGUGCCAGCCGCCGCGGUAAAACCAGCUCUUCAAGUGGUCGGGAUAAUUAUUGGGCUUAAAGUGUCCGUAGCCGGUAUGGUAAGUUCCUGGUAAAAUCGGGUAGCUUAACUAUCUGUGUGCUAGGAAUACUGCUAUACUAGAGGGCGGGAGAGGUCUGAGGUACUACGGGGGUAGGGGUGAAAUCUUAUAAUCCUCGUAGGACCACCAGUGGCGAAGGCGUCAGACUGGAACGCGCCUGACGGUGAGGGACGAAAGCCAGGGGAGCGAACCGGAUUAGAUACCCGGGUAGUCCUGGCCGUAAACGAUGCGCACUAGGUGAUGGUGCGGCCAUGAGCCGCAUCAGUGCCGUAGGGAAACCGUUAAGUAUGCCGCCUGGGAAGUACGGUCGCAAGGCUAAAACUAAAG
This 781-nucleotide ribosomal RNA is filed under the name uncultured archaeon. Its description in RNAcentral is "bacterial SSU rRNA". It matches the Rfam family "Archaeal small subunit ribosomal RNA", at positions 89 to 861 of the family's 1478-position model. The record is from RNAcentral.